Molecule: ribosomal RNA, 363 nt
Filed under: Rhinotergum boehmerius
Lineage: Eukaryota; Metazoa; Arthropoda; Arachnida; Trombidiformes; Diptilomiopidae
Description: partial small subunit ribosomal RNA
Source: RNAcentral
CUUAAUUUUAUUAAGAGUGACGGGCGAUAUGUACGUGUUAAAUUUCUUUUUAAAUUUAAAUUUAUUUUUUUAAUUUACUUCUAAGUCCUAUUUCAUUUGAUUUUUUUUAUAAUUCCAUUUUUGUUUCAUUGUAUUCCUCUUUUUCUAAUUUUUUUCUCUUGUCUUGAUUUGUUUUUUGUUUUAAUUUUAAUUUUUAGAUUAUUUUUUUAUUUUUUCUUUAAAACAAUGAUAUGAGAAGUAAAAAAUUUAGUUCAUUAGAUCGUGGGUUGUCGUUUAAAAAGUAGAAUCCCCUAGUUUGAUUUUACACCGUCAUUUUUUUGUAGAUUUUUCAUGAUUUAGAUACUUUCUUUUAUUUUUCUAACA